This 489-nucleotide ribosomal RNA is filed under the name uncultured bacterium. RNAcentral's name for it is "bacterial SSU rRNA". It matches the Rfam family "Bacterial small subunit ribosomal RNA", at positions 28 to 473 of the family's 1533-position model. The record is from RNAcentral.
GAUGAACGCUGGCGGCGUGCCUAAUACAUGCAAGUCGAACGCAUUGUGGUUGAAAUGAUAUGAAGAACUUGUUCAGAUUUGAUUUUCAACAUUGCAAUGAGUGGCGAACGGGUGAGUAACACGUGGGAAACCUACCUCUUAGCAGGGGAUAACAUUUGGAAACAAAUGCUAAUACCGUAUAAUAAUUAAAACCGCAUGGUUUUAGUUUAAAAGAUGGUCUUGCUAUCACUAAGAGAUGGUCCCGCGGUGUAUUAGUUAGUUGGUGAGGUAAUGGCUCACCAAGACAAUGAUACAUAGCCGAGUUGAGAGACUGACCGGCCACAAUGGGACUGAGACACGGCCCAUACUCCUACGGGAGCAGCAGUAGGAAUCUUCCACAAUGGACGAAAGUCUGAUGGAGCAACGCCGCGUGUGUGAUGAAGGGUUUCGGCUCGUAAAACACUGUUGUAAGAGAAGAAUGACAUUGAGAGUAACUGUUCAAUGUGUGAC